GCAGUUUUAUGGUUGCUGUCAGGCUUU
RNAcentral lists this non-coding RNA (27 nucleotides) under Mus musculus (house mouse). The record is from RNAcentral. Lineage: Eukaryota; Metazoa; Chordata; Mammalia; Rodentia; Muridae.